RNAcentral lists this ribosomal RNA (689 nucleotides) under uncultured bacterium. RNAcentral's name for it is "bacterial SSU rRNA". It matches the Rfam family "Bacterial small subunit ribosomal RNA", at positions 54 to 734 of the family's 1533-position model. The record is from RNAcentral.
CAUGCAAGUCGGGCGGUAGCACAGAGAGCUUGCUCUCGGGUGACGAGCGGCGGACGGGUGAGUAAUGUCUGGGAAACUGCCUGAUGGAGGGGGAUAACUACUGGAAACGGUAGCUAAUACCGCAUAACGUCGCAAGACCAAAGUGGGGGACCUUCGGGCCUCAUGCCAUCAGAUGUGCCCAGAUGGGAUUAGCUAGUAGGUGGGGUAAUGGCUCACCUAGGCGACGAUCCCUAGCUGGUCUGAGAGGAUGACCAGCCACACUGGAACUGAGACACGGUCCAGACUCCUACGGGAGGCAGCAGUGGGGAAUAUUGCACAAUGGGCGCAAGCCUGAUGCAGCCAUGCCGCGUGUAUGAAGAAGGCCUUCGGGUUGUAAAGCACUUUCAGCGAGGAGGAAGGCGUUGUAGUUAAUAGCUGCAACGAUUGACGUUACUCGCAGAAGAAGCACCGGCUAACUCCGUGCCAGCAGCCGCGGUAAUACGGAGGGUGCAAGCGUUAAUCGGAAUUACUGGGCGUAAAGCGCACGCAGGCGGUCUGUUAAGUCAGAUGUGAAAUCCCCGGGCUUAACCUGGGAACUGCAUUUGAAACUGGCAGGCUAGAGUCUCGUAGAGGGGGGUAGAAUUCCAGGUGUAGCGGUGAAAUGCGUAGAGAUCUGGAGGAAUACCGGUGGCGAAGGCGGCCCCCUGGAC